CGUGCCUAAUACAUGCAAGUCGAGCGAGCGGAACUAACAGAUUUACUUCGGUAAUGACGUUAGGAAAGCGAGCGGCGGAUGGGUGAGUAACACGUGGGGAACCUGCCCCAUAGUCUGGGAUACCACUUGGAAACAGGUGCUAAUACCGGAUAAGAAAGCAGAUCGCAUGAUCAGCUUUUAAAAGGCGGCGUAAGCUGUCGCUAUGGGAUGGCCCCGCGGUGCAUUAGCUAGUUGGUAAGGUAAAGGCUUACCAAGGCGAUGAUGCAUAGCCGAGUUGAGAGACUGAUCGGCCACAUUGGGACUGAGACACGGCCCAAACUCCUACGGGAGGCAGCAGUAGGGAAUCUUCCACAAUGGACGCAAGUCUGAUGGAGCAACGCCGCGUGAGUGAAGAAGGUUUUCGGAUCGUAAAGCUCUGUUGUUGGUGAAGAAGGAUAGAGGUAGUAACUGGCCUUUAUUUGACGGUAAUCAACCAGAAAGUCACGGCUAACUACGUGCCAGCAGCCGCGGUAAUACGUAGGUGGCAAGCGUUGUCCGGAUUUAUUGGGCGUAAAGCGAGCGCAGGCGGAAGAAUAAGUCUGAUGUGAAAGCCCUCGGCUUAACCGAGGAACUGCAUCGGAAACUGUUUUUCUUGAGUGCAGAAGAGGAGAGUGGAACUCCAUGUGUAGCGGUGGAAUGCGUAGAUAUAUGGAAGAACACCAGUGGCGAAGGCGGCUCUCUGGUCUGCAACUGACGCUGAGGCUCGAAAGCAUGGGUAGCGAACAGGAUUAGAUACCCUGGUAGUCCAUGCCGUAAACGAUGAGUGCUAAGUGUUGGGAGGUUUCCGCCUCUCAGUGCUGCAGCUAACGCAUUAAGCACUCCGCCUGGGGAGUACGACCGCAAGGUUGAAACUCAAAGGAAUUGUCGGGGGCCCGCACAAGCGGUGGAGCAUGUGGUUUAAUUCGAAGCAACGCGAAGAACCUUACCAGGUCUUGACAUCUAGUGUCAUUUGUAGAGAUACAAAGUUCCCUUCGGGGACGCUAAGACAGGUGGUGCAUGGCUGUCGUCAGCUCGUGUCGUGAGAUGUUGGGUUAAGUCCCGCAACGAGCGCAACCCUUGUUAUUAGUUGCCAGCAUUAAGUUGGGCACUCUAAUGAGACUGCCGGUGACAAACCGGAGGAAGGUGGGGAUGACGUCAAGUCAUCAUGCCCCUUAUGACCUGGGCUACACACGUGCUACAAUGGGCAGUACAACGAGAAGCGAGCCUGCGAAGGCAAGCGAAUCUCUGAAAGCUGUUCUCAGUUCGGACUGCAGUCUGCAACUCGACUGCACGAAGCUGGAAUCGCUAGUAAUCGCGGAUCAGCACGCCGCGGUGAAUACGUUCCCGGGCCUUGUACACACCGCCCGUCACACCAUGGGAGUCUGCAAUGCCCAAAGCCGGUGGCCUAACCUUCGGGAAGGAGCCGUCUAAGGCAGGGCAGAUGACUGGGGUGAAA
This 1474-nucleotide ribosomal RNA is filed under the name uncultured organism. RNAcentral describes it as "SSU rRNA". It matches the Rfam family "Bacterial small subunit ribosomal RNA". The record is from RNAcentral.